Molecule: non-coding RNA, 148 nt
Organism: Caenorhabditis elegans
Lineage: Eukaryota; Metazoa; Nematoda; Chromadorea; Rhabditida; Rhabditidae
Source: Ensembl
AAAAAGUUUCUAGGUCCACUCGCUAGGAGUUUUUGGGGAGUCGAUGACGCCAACCCAGCCGGAAGAUUCAAAAAAGAUAGAGAAACAUGCACAAAAACGUGUAGAUGUAUGCAGAAACCAGCCAGAAAAGUGGAAGAAGGGAAAAAAG